AACUUCUUCUCAUGUGCAUUCCACGAGCCACCAACUCUUGAUGACGAUGUCCCAACCAUGAACGCUGUGAAGCUAGCUUUGGAGAUGCUAAACAACAACAACAAUGAGGUGAUGGUGGAGGCAUCUCCUAUGUUGCCGGGGUUUGGCAGGAGCCCAAUGGUGAGGCAGCUGAGGAUAACGGACUCACCGUUCCCAUUAAGAGAUGUUAAUGAUGACAAUGGUAUUGUGGACAAGAAAGCCGAGGAGUUUAUAGAGAGGUUCUACAAAGAACUGAGGCAACAGCAGCAAUGGCAGUGAGAGAGUGGCCGAUGAGUAAGCUCAGGCUGAGGGUUGUGGUUUGCAAUUUGGUUCUAUUGUUGCUGUCGUUCAC
This 370-nucleotide unclassified non-coding RNA is filed under the name Hevea brasiliensis (rubber tree). Lineage: Eukaryota; Viridiplantae; Streptophyta; Magnoliopsida; Malpighiales; Euphorbiaceae. The record is from RNAcentral.